Molecule: long non-coding RNA, 486 nt
Filed under: Brachypodium distachyon (stiff brome)
Lineage: Eukaryota; Viridiplantae; Streptophyta; Magnoliopsida; Poales; Poaceae
Description: long non-coding RNA (BDIS_LNC005565)
Source: RNAcentral
CAUCCCUGCGCUCUUGCCAGCUUCCACCCUCUGUAACAUCCCAAAAUUUCAAACUUUUACAUGUGCAUUGCAUCCAUGAGCAUCAUGCCACAAUUGCAUAGUUGAAUUCAAAAUUGAAUCUCAAAAGGGCUUUAAAAGACUUUGUUUACACCCAUUUAAGCUUUGGAUUUUCAAACCAAUAGGGUUUAUGUAUAAAAGGGGUUUAAUGCAUAUAUAAGCUAUCCCAUAUUUGUUUUGGAUAAUUAUUUGGAGUUGAAAAAGUAUUUUUUUUUUAUUCAAUAGAUAUAUAGCCCUAAAGGCAUUUAUAGGGCAAAUGUAUUUUUGUAUGUUUUAUUUUGAGGGAAAACUACUCCCAAAAGUUGUAUCUUGAUAGAACAUGAUUUUACAAAUUUUCUGGAUUUUAUUUGGACCAUUUUGGAGUUCAAAAUCAAAAGAUAUCAAAGAUUUGAGAAAAACAGAAAAAAAGAAGAAGAAGAAAACCGGACC